CUACGGGCGGCUGCAGUAGGGAAUAUUGCGCAAUGGGGGCAACCCUGACGCAGCAAUACCGCGUGAGUGAGGAAGGCCUUAGGGUUGUAAAGCUCUGUCUUUGGGGACAAAUGGGUUAAUUGUGAAUAGCAGUUGAUUUUGAUGGUACCCAAGAAGAAAGCACCGGCUAACUUCGUGCCAGCAGCCGCGGUAAUACGAAGGGUGCAAGCGUUGUUCGGAUUUAUUGGGCGUAAAGCGCGCGCAGGCGGAUUAAUAAGUCAGGUGUGAAAUCUCGGGGCUUAACCUCGAAACAGCGCCUGAAACUGUAAAUCUAGAAUCCCAAAGGGGGAAGGGGAAUUUCUCGUGUAGGAGUAAAAUCCGUAGAUAUGAGAAGGAACACCGGUGGCGAAGGCGCCUUCCUGGUUGGGUAUUGACGCUGAGGCGCGAAAGCGUGGGGAGCAAACAGGAUUAGAUACCCUUGUAGUC
This 465-nucleotide ribosomal RNA is filed under the name uncultured bacterium. Its description in RNAcentral is "partial 16S ribosomal RNA". It matches the Rfam family "Bacterial small subunit ribosomal RNA", at positions 339 to 795 of the family's 1533-position model. The record is from RNAcentral.